UGAAGGGACGUCGUUUGUGUAGCCGAAAAAAAAAAUUUCCUUCAAUUCUUUUAGAUGUUGAUGGAAUAGCCAGUGUUUUUUUUUUUUUGAAUUUGGGCUAGGAUCUUUUUCUUUAGUUGUAUGAAGCCCAAUUGUUCAAAUUAAAUGAAGUCAUUUGUGAAGCCCAAAACCAAUUCUUCCUAAUUCUAUUUUGCAGCCCAAUUUUACUUCAAAUCUUUUCACCUCCCAACAUCACACGGUUCACCAACAUCCCUACAUCCCUGAAAAAUCUCCAACCAAAAUAUGUCAUCUCCGUAUAUUUGCUUCAACUGCACAAUGCAGUUUCCUCAUUCCUCCAAAACAAAAGAAAAAAGAAGAGGCACACUGUGAAUUCAACAUCCAUUCUGCCGUAUUUUCUUUCUUCCACAAAGUUGAGAAGAAAUAGUUAGAGUAAGAGAGCCGAGAGUCCUUCAAAUUGUUUUCCUGCAACUCUUUGCAAUAAAGGGUGAACUUUUGCACGCCAUUUGAGGUUGGGACAUAAAGUUUGUUGAGGAGCUAAGCUUGCGAGGUUGAGCUGUGACUAGCGCGGUGGGUGUUGAGCAGAGCUGUUGAAGAUUUGCCUUUGUUUUAAAUUUCCGAAUAUAUUGUGUCUUCAUACAUAAUAUUAUUCUUCUCUCGAAUGCUUCCGCUAAAUAUUGUUUCGUUUGAGUUCGUGUAUUGUUGAGAUAUUUUCAGUUGGAGUUGUUGAUUGUUGCAAUGA
Molecule: long non-coding RNA, 739 nt
Organism: Salvia splendens (bonfire salvia)
Lineage: Eukaryota; Viridiplantae; Streptophyta; Magnoliopsida; Lamiales; Lamiaceae
Exons: 4
Source: RefSeq, a predicted model, not a curated record